ACGGAAGGCAGCAGUGGGGAAUAUUGCACAAUGGGGGAAACCCUGAUGCAGCGACGCCGCGUGAGUGAAGAAGUUAUUCGUAAUGUAAAGCUCUAUCAGCAGGGAAGAAAAUGACGGUACCUGACUAAGAAGCCCCGGCUAACUACGUGCCAGCAGCCGCGGUAAUACGUAGGGGGCAAGCGUUAUCCGGAUUUACUGGGUGUAAAGGGAGCGUAGACGGUCUGGCAAGUCUGAUGUGAAAGGCAGGGGCUCAACUCCUGGACUGCAUUGGAAACUGUCAGUCUUGAGUGUUGGAGAGGUAAGCGGAAUUCCUAGUGUAGCGGUGAAAUGCGUAGAUAUUAGGAGGAACACCAGUGGCGAAGGCGGCUUACUGGACGAUAACUGACGUUGAGGCUCGAAAGCGUGGGGAGCAAACAGGAUUAGAUACCCUGGUA
This 434-nucleotide ribosomal RNA is filed under the name uncultured Lachnospiraceae bacterium. RNAcentral's name for it is "bacterial SSU rRNA". It matches the Rfam family "Bacterial small subunit ribosomal RNA", at positions 341 to 792 of the family's 1533-position model. Lineage: Bacteria; Bacillati; Bacillota; Clostridia; Lachnospirales; Lachnospiraceae. The record is from RNAcentral.